RNAcentral lists this small nucleolar RNA (131 nucleotides) under Anas platyrhynchos (mallard). Lineage: Eukaryota; Metazoa; Chordata; Aves; Anseriformes; Anatidae. The record is from RNAcentral.
GCACUGCCUUUGAGCCGGCGGGGCGCCCUGCCCGCGGCGCCGCCGGCCAAGGGUGCCAGAGCGAGCCCCUUGUUGAUAACUGGUGCUGCUCGGCACGGCCCGGGCGGCGCUUUUAAAAGCAAGGUACAGGG